RNAcentral lists this long non-coding RNA (220 nucleotides) under Elaeis guineensis (African oil palm). Its description in RNAcentral is "long non-coding RNA (EGUI_LNC049788)". Lineage: Eukaryota; Viridiplantae; Streptophyta; Magnoliopsida; Arecales; Arecaceae. The record is from RNAcentral.
GCCGGAGUUGGAGGCGAGCUUGGCUCCCGUUGGAGUCCGGAUGGAGUCUGCUUUGCCGUUGGAGUUGGUGACGGAGCCCGGCUCCCGUAGGAGUCCGGGCGGAGUCUUCCUUGCAGCCGGAGUUGGAGGCGAGCCCGGCUCCCGUAGGAGUCCGGGCGGAGUCUGCUUGCGGUCAGAGUUAUGGGCGGAGUCCGGCUCCCAUAGGAGUCUGGACGAGGUC